RNAcentral lists this ribosomal RNA (1387 nucleotides) under uncultured marine bacterium. RNAcentral describes it as "bacterial SSU rRNA". It matches the Rfam family "Bacterial small subunit ribosomal RNA". The record is from RNAcentral.
GAGUUUGAUCCUGGCUCAGGAUGAACGCUAGCGGCAGGCCUAAUACAUGCAAGUCGAGGGGUAACAGGAAGUGCUUGCACUUCGCUGACGACCGGCGCACGGGUGAGUACCGCGUAUACAAUCUGCCUCAUACUAGGGGAUAGCCCGAAGAAAUUUGGAUUAAUACCCUAUAGUAUCCUUUUAAGGCAUCUUAAAAAGAUUAAAGGUUACGGUAUGAGAUGAGUAUGCGUUCUAUUAGCUAGUAGGUGUGGUAACGGCACACCUAGGCUACGAUAGAUAGGGGCCCUGAGAGGGGGAUCCCCCACACCGGUACUGAGACACGGACCAGACUCCUACGGGAGGCAGCAGUAAGGAAUAUUGGACAAUGGGCGAAAGCCUGAUCCAGCCAUGCCGCGUGCAGGACGACGGCCCUAUGGGUUGUAAACUGCUUUUAUAUAGGAAGAAAAACUUUCUCGUGAGAAAGCUUGACGGUACUAUGAGAAUAGGAUCGGCUAACUCCGUGCCAGCAGCCGCGGUAAUACGGAGGAUCCAAGCGUUAUCCGGAAUCAUUGGGUUUAAAGGGUCCGUAGGUGGACAAAUAAGUCAGAGGUGAAAUCCUGCAGCUCAACUGUAGAACUGCCUUUGAUACUGCUUGUCUUGAGUUAUUAUGAAGUGGUUAGAAUGUGUAGUGUAGCGGUGAAAUGCAUAGAUAUUACACAGAAUACCGAUUGCGAAGGCAGAUCACUAAUAAUUAACUGACACUGAGGGACGAAAGCGUGGGUAGCGAACAGGAUUAGAUACCCUGGUAGUCCACGCCGUAAACGAUGGUCACUAGCUGUUUGGACUUCGGUCUGAGUGGCUAAGCGAAAGUGAUAAGUGACCCACCUGGGGAGUACGUUCGCAAGAAUGAAACUCAAAGGAAUUGACGGGGGCCCGCACAAGCGGUGGAGCAUGUGGUUUAAUUCGAUGAUACGCGAGGAACCUUACCAGGGCUUAAAUGUUAGGUGACAGAUCUAGAAAUAGAUUUUUCUUCGGACACUUAACAAGGUGCUGCAUGGUUGUCGUCAGCUCGUGCCGUGAGGUGUCAGGUUAAGUCCUAUAACGAGCGCAACCCCUGUUGUUAGUUGCCAGCGAGUAAUGUCGGGAACUCUAGCAAGACUGCCAGUGCAAACUGUGAGGAAGGUGGGGAUGACGUCAAAUCAUCACGGCCCUUACGUCCUGGGCUACACGCGUGCUACAAUGGUAGGUACAGAGAGCAGCCAAUGCGCGAGCAUGAGCAAAUCCAUAAAACCUAUCUCAGUUCGGAUCGGAGUCUGCAACUCGACUCCGUGAAGCUGGAAUCGCUAGUAAUCGGAUAUCAGCCAUGAUCCGGUGAAUACGUUCCCGGGCCUUGUACUCACCGCCCGUC